RNAcentral lists this ribosomal RNA (1075 nucleotides) under Bacillus aerophilus. RNAcentral describes it as "bacterial SSU rRNA". It matches the Rfam family "Bacterial small subunit ribosomal RNA", at positions 35 to 1089 of the family's 1533-position model. The record is from RNAcentral. Lineage: Bacteria; Bacillati; Bacillota; Bacilli; Caryophanales; Bacillaceae.
GCUUGGGGGCGUGCUAAUACAUGCAAGUCGAGCGGACAGAAGGGAGCUUGCUCCCGGAUGUUAGCGGCGGACGGGUGAGUAACACGUGGGUAACCUGCCUGUAAGACUGGGAUAACUCCGGGAAACCGGAGCUAAUACCGGAUAGUUCCUUGAACCGCAUGGUUCAAGGAUGAAAGACGGUUUCGGCUGUCACUUACAGAUGGACCCGCGGCGCAUUAGCUAGUUGGUGAGGUAACGGCUCACCAAGGCGACGAUGCGUAGCCGACCUGAGAGGGUGAUCGGCCACACUGGGACUGAGACACGGCCCAGACUCCUACGGGAGGCAGCAGUAGGGAAUCUUCCGCAAUGGACGAAAGUCUGACGGAGCAACGCCGCGUGAGUGAUGAAGGUUUUCGGAUCGUAAAGCUCUGUUGUUAGGGAAGAACAAGUGCAAGAGUAACUGCUUGCACCUUGACGGUACCUAACCAGAAAGCCACGGCUAACUACGUGCCAGCAGCCGCGGUAAUACGUAGGUGGCAAGCGUUGUCCGGAAUUAUUGGGCGUAAAGGGCUCGCAGGCGGUUUCUUAAGUCUGAUGUGAAAGCCCCCGGCUCAACCGGGGAGGGUCAUUGGAAACUGGGAAACUUGAGUGCAGAAGAGGAGAGUGGAAUUCCACGUGUAGCGGUGAAAUGCGUAGAGAUGUGGAGGAACACCAGUGGCGAAGGCGACUCUCUGGUCUGUAACUGACGCUGAGGAGCGAAAGCGUGGGGAGCGAACAGGAUUAGAUACCCUGGUAGUCCACGCCGUAAACGAUGAGUGCUAAGUGUUACGGGGUUUCCGCCUCUUAGUGCUGCAGCUAACGCAUUAAGCACUCCGCCUGGGGGAGUACGGUCGCAAGACUGAAAACUCAAAGGAAUUGACAGGGGCCCGCACAAGCGCUGGUAGCAUGUGAUUUAUUUCGAAGCAACGCGGAGAACCUUUACAUGUCUUGACGUGCUGCUGACAACCCUAGAGAUAGGUCUUUCCUUUCGGGACGGAGUGACAGUGGGCAUGCCUUGGUCGUCAGCUCGUGUCGUGAGAUGUGGGUUUAAGUUCCG